This 1285-nucleotide ribosomal RNA is filed under the name metagenome. Its description in RNAcentral is "bacterial SSU rRNA". It matches the Rfam family "Bacterial small subunit ribosomal RNA", at positions 242 to 1520 of the family's 1533-position model. The record is from RNAcentral.
UAGCUAGUUGGUGAGGUAAAGGCUUACCAAGGCGACGAUCUGUAGCGGGUCUGAGAGGAUGAUCCGCCACACUGGAACUGAGACACGGUCCAGACUCCUACGGGAGGCAGCAGUGGGGAAUUUUGGACAAUGGGGGCAACCCUGAUCCAGCCAUGCCGCGUGAGUGAAGAAGGCCUUCGGGUUGUAAGCUCUUUCGGCCGGGAAGAAAUCGCAUGGGCCAAUACCCUGUGUGGAUGACGGUACCGGAAUAAGAAGCACCGGCUAACUACGUGCCAGCAGCCGCGGUAAUACGUAGGGUGCGAGCGUUAAUCGGAAUUACUGGGCGUAAAGCGUGCGCAGGCGGUUUUGUAAGACAGGCGUGAAAUCCCCGGGCUUAACCUGGGAACUGCGUUUGUGACUGCAAGGCUAGAGUACGGCAGAGGGGGGUGGAAUUCCACGUGUAGCAGUGAAAUGCGUAGAGAUGUGGAGGAACACCAAUGGCGAAGGCAGCCCCCUGGGUCGAUACUGACGCUCAUGCACGAGAGCGUGGGUAGCAAACAGGAUUAGAUACCCUGGUAGUCCACGCCCUAAACUAUGUCAACUAUUGUUGGGUGGGUAAAACCAUUUAGUACCGUAGCUAACGCGUGAAGUUGACCGCCUGGGGAGUACGGCCGCAAGGUUAAAACUCAAAGGAAUUGACGGGGACCCGCACAAGCGGUGGAUGAUGUGGAUUAAUUCGAUGCAACGCGAAAAACCUUACCUACCCUUGACAUGCCAGGAACUUGCCAGAGAUGGCUUGGUGCCCGAAAGGGAGCCUGGACACAGGUGCUGCAUGGCUGUCGUCAGCUCGUGUCGUGAGAUGUUGGGUUAAGUCCCGCAACGAGCGCAACCCUUGUCGUUAAUUGCCAUCAUUUGGUUGGGCACUUUAACGAGACUGCCGGUGACAAACCGGAGGAAGGUGGGGAUGACGUCAAGUCCUCAUGGCCCUUAUGGGUAGGGCUUCACACGUCAUACAAUGGUCGGUACAAAGGGUUGCCAAGCCGCGAGGCGGAGCCAAUCCCAGAAAGCCGAUCGUAGUCCGGAUUGCAGGCUGCAACUCGCCUGCAUGAAGUCGGAAUCGCUAGUAAUCGUGGAUCAGCAUGUCACGGUGAAUACGUUCCCGGGUCUUGUACACACCGCCCGUCACACCAUGGGAGCGGGUUCCGCCAGAAGUGGGUAGCCUAACCGCAAGGAGGGCGCUUACCACGGCGGGGUUCGUGACCGGGGUGAAGUCGUAACAAGGUAGCCGUAGGGGAACCUGCGGCUG